Molecule: long non-coding RNA, 281 nt
Filed under: Mytilus galloprovincialis (Mediterranean mussel)
Lineage: Eukaryota; Metazoa; Mollusca; Bivalvia; Mytilida; Mytilidae
Source: RNAcentral
UUUAUUUUCGUAAAUCAAUAGAAUACAUAUGUUCAUUUUAUGAACGUGAGAUUAUUGAGUUCAUGUUUAUGAUGCAUGAACGUGCAAGUAAAAUGCAUAUCUAAAUUGAUAAUCGUACUUAAUAGUUUGUACAAUUAUAUUAUUAUUAGGUUCCAGCCUGCACCAGAGUAUACAAUGAUGCGGUGUUAAGAGUGGUCAUAUAGAUUGAACGCCAUCAUACAUCAUACAACAAACAACAUAUCUACGUAUAAUAGUGAAACUGUCGUGCACGAUACCAUAAC